CCUUCACUGGGACAAUAUUGUAUGGUGAGUUUUACUUUUUCUUAUAAUUUUCCAAUUCAUUUCACUGGCACAAAACUAACUUGGUUUAUCAUUAUGAUGUUUAGAAUAUUGAUAUUUUGUUUCAGUUUUUAAGUAUAAGCAUGAGGGUAAAUAUUAUAUCAAAAUAAUGGAUAGUUUUUAUAGUUUCUAGAAGCAAUUUCUGUUAUAAUCCAAAUCUCACACCUUAGAACUAAAGUUUUUCUCCCAGUUCUCAAAGGGAAUGGUGCCUAGAUAAUUCCCCAAACUUCAAAAACUUACAAUAACUUUAAAUGGAAAGACAAGAAAAAUGAUAAUGCAAAUUAAGGAAAAACCCUAAUGAUUUUAACACCAUAAUUGGAUCAAAUUUCUUGAUUUCUCUGCUAUUUAGAUUGCUUUUUCUAGAAGUGUUAUUGACUUCAAAUUUCCCUCAGAGGCAAGGCUCUCAAUCAUUGGAGAAGUGUUGUUGUGUUGCAAUUACUAUAAAAUAUGCUCAAGCAUGUUAGGAGGUAUAAGUUCCGAAAAAAAAAAUUGACUUCUUUAGGCAAAUGAACAAAAGUAAGUGAUAAUUUAUUUGGUUUAAAAUAUCUAGCACAUUAUAUUACAGGAUGGUAUGAACAAUUAACGGUCAGUAAUGAAACUAAUGAGUCAAGGAUACAGAGGCUAAACUAUGCUAAGGAUCAAAUAAAAUUAAAGAAAAAUAAGUGUUUUAUCACACCAUUGAAGUGAGAUGUGCUACCUUAUUGCUGCACAAAUUCAAUACUUCGUGUUAUGGAGUAACUAGCCUACGACAGUGGAGAAGUAAUUGUGCGAGUAACACUAACACUUCACUGUUUGUGAUCAGCUCUUAGGCGUUUUGAUUUAAUUUAUUUUGUAGUCACUUAGUCAUGAUGGUCCUUUAAUAACACAUUGGAUUCUUGGUGACCUCCUGAUAAUUGCUUUUCUUAAGUGAUUUCCAGUCUCCAUAAUAGAGUUUGCUGUUUGACUCUGAAGUUUUUGCCCCCUAAUUUCAUAGAAGAGUAUCCCACCUGAGUCUAUGGGGGAGUCACUGAUUUCUUGGUGACCUGAAGCUGAUUGAGCUGAUUUCUACAUAAAAAAGUCAUAUUGUGGCUUCAUAACAAAAUGCAAGCCUCUCUGAAAGAAUGGCACAAGAUUUCAUCUUAACCAAUUCCAGAGUCACUAUUAAAACUAGGGAAAACAUUAUCCUCUACUGCUUAAAUAAAUUUGAGUGAGAAGAGAUAGAUGCUCAUACAUUAUGUUGGCCUUGAAUUCUACCUCCUUGUUAAUCUGGGCUUCAGGGCACUAUGUUAUCGAUUUAUCAAGAGUUCUCUUUAUUGGUACAUUGUUAAUUUCACUCAUGAAGUGGCCUAUACUUUUAUAAGCAAGUACCGUUCUAAUAAGCCUUGUAGAGUUAUUACUACCUACAUUCUUCUAUAUGAUUGAAAUGAUCCUUAAUACCCCGCUGGUCCUAUUACCGUAUAGGCUCCAAAUUUUAGUUAAUCCUUGAUAGCAGAACACCUUUGGAGAAAUCCUGAAAAGUGUUAGUUUGACGUCGCUAUAAUUAGUAACUAAGUGAAAGAAAGAAAGAUUUACAAAGACAAUAAUCUCAAAAUUUAUGCUUUGAUGAUUUUAGAGAAGUUUCUCCUUGUCUCUUUUUUGAGGAUGCUUCCAAUUUCUAAAUGUGCUUUUUUGCUUGGUAAAAUACACAGCUAUUUUGAAAAUGGAAAAUGUUGAGAUUAGUUUCUCCAGUUGUGCUUUAUGCAGAACAUCAAAUGCUUGAUUGACAAAUUUGGAACUGGAUAUUACUUCCAGAAUGUGUUUUACUGUUGAAUUUUUUUGCUAAACUUUUGACAAGAGAAUAACUGUUUAACAUUGUGCUUGUUGAUCCCUCUUCUUCCAUGAUAAUCAAGUAAUCAUGCUAUAUUAUUGGCAGAGAUCAAUAGUCAAUUGCUGAAG
This 1971-nucleotide unclassified non-coding RNA is filed under the name Hevea brasiliensis (rubber tree). The record is from RNAcentral. Lineage: Eukaryota; Viridiplantae; Streptophyta; Magnoliopsida; Malpighiales; Euphorbiaceae.